UGAUGAUAGUGAGGGCAAUUUCUAAGAAUACUUUUAAAUAUCUCCCAAGCUUGGUAGAGAUUCUCUCCUUCUUUCUAUCUGAAACUCAAAAUCUUACUUCUCAAACA
Capsicum annuum is the source of this 107-nucleotide non-coding RNA. Lineage: Eukaryota; Viridiplantae; Streptophyta; Magnoliopsida; Solanales; Solanaceae. The record is from Rfam.